Molecule: long non-coding RNA, 776 nt
Filed under: Setaria italica (foxtail millet)
Lineage: Eukaryota; Viridiplantae; Streptophyta; Magnoliopsida; Poales; Poaceae
Description: long non-coding RNA (SITA_LNC003462)
Source: RNAcentral
UCAUCUUUGCUGGAAAGCAGCUCGAGGAUGGCCGCACCCUCGCUGACUACAACAUCCAGAAGGAGUCGACCCUCCACUUGGUGCUCAGGCUCAGGGGAGGCAUGCAGAUCUUCGUCAAGACCCUCACUGGCAAGACCAUCACGCUUGAGGUCGAGUCCUCAGACACGAUCGACAACGUGAAGGCCAAGAUCCAGGACAAGGAGGGCAUCCCCCCGGACCAGCAGCGUCUCAUCUUUGCUGGCAAGCAGCUUGAGGAUGGCCGCACCCUCGCUGACUACAACAUCCAGAAGGAGUCCACCCUCCACCUCGUGCUCAGGCUCAGGGGUGGAAUGCAGAUCUUCGUCAAGACCCUCACUGGCAAGACCAUCACUCUUGAGGUCGAGUCCUCAGACACGAUCGACAACGUGAAGGCCAAGAUCCAGGACAAGGAGGGCAUCCCCCCGGACCAGCAGCGUCUGAUCUUUGCCGGCAAGCAGCUGGAGGAUGGCCGCACCCUUGCUGACUACAACAUCCAGAAGGAGUCCACCCUCCACCUGGUGCUUCGCCUCCGGGGUGGCCAGUAACUUCACAGGGCUCAUUGUGCUGCUGUCGUCCAUGGGUUCACAAGUUUGGUUGUCUCUCCAAUGGAGAUUGUCUGUGUCGUGCUGUGUUCUGUGUCCUGGUCUUCUACUGGUGCAAGUCCUAUGUCGUCCGGUUGUGUUUGUGAACAUUUGCUGCUGUGCAGCAUCUUGGUUGAACUGUGAUGAAAUAAGUGAACCCUGAAUUUGUUUGGCAAU